This 873-nucleotide long non-coding RNA is filed under the name Heterocephalus glaber (naked mole-rat). RNAcentral's name for it is "lncRNA (ENSHGLG00000044844.1)". The record is from RNAcentral. Lineage: Eukaryota; Metazoa; Chordata; Mammalia; Rodentia; Bathyergidae.
GGCAGGAGGACGGCAAGUUGGAUCAUGGCCUGGGCAAUUUAGCGACUUAGUGAAAUCACCGCAAGGUGGCUAUGAAUAGUUGCAUUCUAUUAUGGCAGGUUUUUUUUGGGGGGGGGGUGCUUUUUACUAAUGCAAGUUUUUUUUAUUACUGCCUUUUAUUUAUACAGACCAGUGGGUUCAUUUCGGCAUAUCCAUACAUGCAGGACCUUUAGUCCACCUAAGUGAAAACUGAGGCACUGCGAAGCUCAGUGGCAAGUUAUCAAGUAUCUCCGGGCCCCUGAUGAAGCUGGCAGCCAGCUAAACCCAAAGUCUCCGAGCCGGACAUUCCAAUAAAAGAAAAAUCGGCUCUGACUGAGAAAGGAUCUGCCGAGACCUCCACAGGCUGAAAGGUCAGACCAAGAAAUGAGGUUUGCCUUGCGUGAUGGCGCAUGCCUCUCAUCUCAGCACUCUGGGAUGCUUGGGCAGGAGGGUCGCAAAUUCAAGCCCACCAUAGUCCCUAGAGACAAACACUGUCUGGUGACAACUUGAAGAACCUUCCACCGACGUACAGAGUCUUUAAGAAAGACGGUGUGUGGGCCGGGGAUUUAGCUCAGUGGUUUCGCUGCCUACUGUGCAAGAGCAAGAACCCGAGUUCGAUCCCCGGUACCAAAAAAAAAGAAAAAGAAAAGAAAAACGGUGUGUAUGUUCUGUAAUAAAUACCCAUACGGCUGCAAACUAAACUCAAAGAUCUUUUCUCUCUUUCCACUUAGAUUCCAGGGGGCAGGAACGAAAAAUUAACCAGAUUGGAAAAUGCAUGUGUAAUGGCCGGGCGUGCUGUCUAUCACGCGCUUGUCCUCCCAGCACUGAGGGAGGCUGAGGCAAGAAGAUCAGGAG